Molecule: long non-coding RNA, 5550 nt
Filed under: Podarcis lilfordi (Lilford's wall lizard)
Lineage: Eukaryota; Metazoa; Chordata; Lepidosauria; Squamata; Lacertidae
Source: RNAcentral
UCUAUGUUUAAUUUUUUAUGGAAACUUUAAUAAAUAUCAUUUUAAAAAAAACAAAAAACUAAGUGGGAGAUACUGGGUGUGUGUGUGUUGGGAGAACUCUUUUGUCCAACUUAACUAACAGUGCAAGCCUCGCCUACAGACUGGAGCUGGUAUGCUGGAAUGGUUAUUUUUUUUACAAAAAUUUUAUUGGUUUUUACAAUAUCAACGGCGGUGUGCUGGAAUGGUUAAGGGCAUAAGCUAUGAGCUGGAAGCCUGCUGUUCAUAUCUCAGAGGUGUGAACUCAGAUAGUCUUCUCUCUUUUUAAAUUUUUUUUUUUAAAAAAAAUCUCUCUUUUUUUAAAAAAAAAUUUAAAUUGGUUUUCAUAACAUUAUAAACAAACACAUAAGACAAACAAACAUAAAUCAUAGCCUUAUUAAAAAUUACACUUAUUAACAUUGUUAAGUGACUUCCUCGCAUCCUCUUGGUUGAAUUUCAUUGCAUAUCCUUUUAACGGUUUUCCAAAUCACAGUUCUUAUAAAAUUUAACUUAAACAUUAACAUCCUUAAAUCUUCACAUUAUGAAAUUAAACAUAUUAAUUCAUCACUUAACAUAAAUAAAAUCCUAAGCCAAUUAAGUAUCUGCAAGCUGUUUUCAGUUAAUUUAACUUAACAUAUUUAACUAAGUAAUCAUUAAAUUUAAUCCACUCUUCCUGAUACUCCUCCUCUUUCUGGUUGCGGACUCUUCUGGUUACGUUGGCUAGCUCCGAAAAAUCCAUCAUCUUCAUCUGCCAUUCUUCUAUCGUUGGUAAUUCUUGGGUUCAGAUAGUCUUCUCUCUGUCACAGUGGGAUUAACAAUACCAGCCUACCUUCUAGGUUUGCUGUACAGGUAGCUGAGAUAAUGUAUGAGUAUGAUACAAAGUGCUGUGAGUAUGAUAUAAACAUAUUGGUUUUAUUGGUUUGUUUCAGACUGAUCUUCUGGAAGACCUUUGGCCACGAUUGAGUCAGUCAGUACAAGCCUCUGAUGGUAAGCGAUGAUUGGUUGUGCCAAAAUCAAGAAAUUAAGGUCUUUGAUGUGUGUCUUUGGAAGAAGCUGCCCAGUCCUCCCCUCACUAUGACUGUUUCCUUUGAAGCUUAAUAGCUGCUAUCUUUAAAAAAAUAAAAAUGGGAGCAAACAUAAGAGCAUUAAGCCCAGAGUCCAAAAUGACCUAAUUGUGCCACUGCAGCUUAAAGGAUAGGAGGUGUUCGGGCUGAGAAGAAUAGCUCUGCAGGGUUAUGCAUUCUCCAAGUCUAAUUAAACACACACACACACACACACACACACACACACACAAACACAAACACACGACCCAUUCUGAAUGGAACUGCUCCAGUGCUUAGGCUUUGAACGCAUAUUCACUGUACUAAUAUAGGGAAUAAUUCAAUUGUCAGAUAUAUAACAAACUUAUAUUGUGGAGGCAGAGAUUUUACUUUCUUGGGCUUCAUGAUCACUGCAGAUGGUGACAACGGUCACAAAAUUAAAAGACGCCUGCUUCUUGAGAGAAAAGCGAUGACAAACCUAGACAGCAUCUUAAAAAGCAGAGACAUCACCUUGCCAACAAAGGUCCGUAUAGUAAAAGCUAUGGUUUUCCCAGUAGUGAUGUAUGGAAGUGAGAGCUGGACUAUAAAGAAGGCUGAUCGCCGAAGAAUUGAUGCUUUUGAAUUCUGGUGCUGGAGGAGACUCUUGAGAGUCCCAUGGACUGCAAGAAGAUCAAAAGUAUCCAUUCUGAAGGAAAUCAGCCCUGAGUGUUCACUGGAAGGACGGAUCAUGAAGCUGAGGCUCCAAUACUUUGGCCACCUCAUGAGAAGAGAAGACUCCCUGGAAAAGACCCUGAUGUUGGGAAAGAUGGAGGGCACAAGGAGAAGGGGACGACAGAGGACGAGAUGGCUGGACAGUGUUCUCGAAGCUACCAGCAUGAGUUUGACCAAACUGUGGGAGGCAGUGGAAGACAGGAGUGCCUGGCAUGCUCUGAUCCAUGGUGUCACGAAGAGUCAGACACGACUAAACAACAACAAAUACAGUGGUACCUCGGGUUACAUAUGCUUCAGGUUUCAUACGCUUCAGGUUACAGACUCCACUUACCCAGAAAUAGUGCUUCAGGUUAAGAACUUUGCUGCAGGAUAAGAACAGUAUUUGUGCUCCGGCGGGGCGGCGGCAGCAGGAGGCGCCAUUAGCUAAAGUGGUGCUUCAGGUUAAGAACAGUUUCAGGUUAAGAACGGACCUCCGGAACGAAUUAAGUGCUUAACCCGAGGUACCACUGUAUUGUGUCUGCUUGUGCCAAUGUGCUGCUAUUUGGAAAAUGGCCAGCAGGUGGCACCACCUAACUACUCCCACCCCCCACAACCCACAUGGUAGGAAAUCUUCCCAAAUUCUGUCUCAUGUGGCAGACUUUUGGAAUUUAGAACACAAGAAGAAUCCUGUUGGAUCAGGCCAAUGGCCCAUUUCCUCCAGCAUCCUCUUCUCUCAGUGGUCAGUCACAUGUUCUGAUGGGAAGCCAGCACGCAAGACCACAAACACCCUUGUCUGCUGCAAUUGUAUUCAGAAGCAUACUUCAGAGUACAAAUUCAGGGUUUAUGUCAGAAAACUAAUACAAAACUUUGGCUGGGAAAAUUUUGUUUUGUUUCCCCCCAAAAAUUUUUUAAUUGAUUUUCCAAAAACAAAUAAACAAACAAACAAAAAUCUCAACGGUAUUUAAGCCAAACUUAUUAACAUUGUUAUGUGACUUCCUCGCAUCCCCCUGGUUGAAUUUCAAUGUAUAUCAUUUUAACAGUUUUCCAAAACCAAUAUUCUUAUAAAAUUAACUUAGUCACUUAACAUCUUUUUUUUUUCUUUCUAGUUCGGCAAUUAAACAUAUUAAUUCAUCACAUUACAUAUGUAAGUCCUAAGCCUACCUGGUAUUUGCAAGCUUCUCCAAUUAAUUUAACUUAACAUAUUUAACUAAAUAAUCUUUAACUUUUGUCCAUUCUUCCUGAUAAUCCUCCUCCUUCUGGUCAUGGACUCUUCCAGUCAGGUCGGCUAGCUCCCAAAAAUCCAUCAUCUACAUCUGCCAAUCUUCUACUGUUGGUACUUCUUGUGUUUUCCAAUUCUUAGCUAAUAAAAUUCGAGCAGAAGUUGUGGCAUAGAAAAAUAAUUUCACAUCUUUCUUGGGCAGUUCCAAACCUGUUGUUCCAAGAAGAAAGGCCUCUGGUUUCUUAAUAAAUGUAUAUUUCAACAUUUUUUUCAAUUCAUUAUAAAUCUUCUCCCAGCAGUCUUUCCCCUUGGGGCAGGUCCACCACAUAUGAUAGAAGGUACCCUCCUUUUCUUUACAUUUCCAUGGCUGGGGAAGUUUUGAGAGGAUAUCAGACUUUAGGGUUGAAACAUGCAAAGAUACGAGAAAACUUUUGACAGUAAGAGCUGUUCAACAGUGGAACAGUCUCCCUCAGGAGGUUGCGGACACUCCUUCUUUGGAGGUUUUUAAGCAGAGGUUGUCAUAGAUGCUUUAGCUGAGAUUCCUGCAUUGCAGGGGGUUGGACUAGAUGACCCCAGGGUCCCUCCCAACUCUAUUAUUUUGUAAACCGCAAAUGCUUCUCUACACCAGUUUAGAAACAUUUUCCUCCCCCCACAAGCUUUAUAUACUCUCUUUCUCUCUGUAGCUUUAUGCUAAUAUAUAUUUGUUUGUUUUGAUCUGGAGUGAUUUCAAUAAACUUAUGCUAUUUCCAUUUAAGCCUUUGUCCUUUCAAAGGGUCACAAUUUUGGGCCACCCUCUUUGGUGAAAUCACAUGCAUGGUGACCCCUGCAAUGGGGCUCAGUUCUAGAUAAGUUCACAUAUAAGACUGAAAUUGUACUGUACCAAGUUGCAUAUGGCUAGGUAAAGGGACCCCUGACCAUUAGGUCCAGUCACGGACGACUCUGGGGUUGCAGCGCUCAUCUCACUUUAUUGGCUGAGGGAGCUGGCGUACAGCUUCCGGGUCGUGGCCAGCAUGACUAAGCCGCUUCUGGUGAACCAGAGCAGCGCACAGAAAAGUUGUUUACCUUCCUGCCGGAGAGGUACCUAUUGAUCUACUUGCACUUUGACGUGCUUUCGAACUGCUAGGUUGGCAGGAGCAGGGAUCAAGCAACGGGAGCUCACCCCAUCACGGGGAUUCAAACCGGCAACCGUCUGAUCGGCAAGUCCUAGGCUCUGUGGUUUAACCCACAGUGCCACGUGCAUAUGCCUACUCUGAAGCAAAUCCCAUUGAGUCCAAGUACCUGCGCAUGGUGCUAGUCCCUGACCUCUCACUGCACCUCCAGAGGAGGCCAGGAACAAUCUCCUGCUGCUCUUCUCUCCAGCUCCAAAUAUUCAAUUAUUCAGAUAUCCAAACCUGCAGACCAUGGACCAGAUCAACUUACCAAGCCACUUCAAAGGGCCCAUCCCCAGAAAAUUGGUGGCAAUUCUUUUCCCUCUUGCAAUGUCCCUCUCCUUCCUUUUGCACCCCCCACACGCUAGGAAGCUGAGAUACUCAGGAAACAGGGACUACAAUUCCUUUCUAUUUUCUGAGCAUCCCAACCUGUUAUCAGUGGUGGCGGUGAAAGAGGGGUGAGAUUGUAUUUGCCUGGUAAGCACAGAGUCAGACUUUAAGCAUCUCUGCCACAAGGUGGCACCAUCUGCUCAUUAGUCACCAGUGGAUGCAUCUCCCGCUUAUCGGAGCCUUUCUUAAAAGCUAAUUUUAAGUCCUCAAUAGCCUAUAAGCAUCUAAUAGGGACGUGUAAUCGUUCUUAAUGGAGAUUAAAAAGCGCAAGAAGGGCACCUGCUAUUUGAAUGUGCUAGUUAAUGUUGGUUUCGCAUCUGCAUUGCAGGCAUAACAAUAUAAGGCGAGCCUUCUGGAUCAGGUCUCAUCCGGCAUCCUGUUCUCAUAGUAGCAGUGCUCUGGGGACUCUGCAUUUGCUCAGAGGCAUUCUCUGCUCCAGUAGUGAACUUUGGCAUUCAGAUCAGAACAGGUCCCGGGUCUGCGCUCCAAGGAAGUUUGGUUAUACGUUCAUUCAUAUAUUCCAGGCAUGUCCAACUCCCAAGAGACUGUGAUCUACUUCCGCUAUAAAAAAUCUGACAGUGAUCUACCCGUUUGGGUAGGAAAACACAAAGUUGUGAGGUUUUCUUUGUGGGGGGCAUCAAUGAGGCAAUCAGGAUGACGCAAUCGACCGGGGGCGCCCCGCAAUCGACUGAUAGAUCAAUUGACUGGGCAUGCCUGAUAUAUUCCAUUUCAGUCCUGUUCCUCAUCAGUUUAUGAUCCCAUUGCAGGUUAAAACAUUAAACAUAAUAAUUUUAAUUUUAAUUAUUUUUCUCUGCCCAUCUACCUGUGUUGCCAAAGAAUAAAUUAAUUAAAAUUGAAGACUCUCUUGUCUAACAGAGCAGGCAUGCUAUCUGCUGAACUCAUUCAGAUUAGAGCCCUGAUAUUUAGGAGAUUGGGACGCGAGUGGUGCUGUGGGUUAAACCACAGAGCCUAGGACUUGCCGAUCAGAAGGUCGGCGGUUCGAAUCCCCACGACAGGGUGAGCUCCCGUUGCUCGGUCCCUGCUCCUG